Molecule: long non-coding RNA, 1287 nt
Filed under: Chloebia gouldiae (Gouldian finch)
Lineage: Eukaryota; Metazoa; Chordata; Aves; Passeriformes; Passeridae
Description: Erythrura gouldiae (Gouldian finch) lncRNA (ENSEGOG00005002672.1)
Source: RNAcentral
GUGCAACCAGGCACAGAGGUUCCAGAGCCUGGGAGGUCCUUGGGAAGAGCUCUGCUCAACUCUUGCUGCAUUGCUGUGAAUGGGCCACAAGUAAUGCUUCCCUGUUUGGCUGCAAGAGCCUUAGCACAGCAAAUGGUGGGGGCAGGAAAGGCAUUUCCCAGCACAAACAUGAUUCAGUUCCUCUUGCUCUCGCAACCUCCCAGUCUGGCAAGAUGCUCUGGGGAUGGGAGCAGGAACUGUCUGUGCUUGUUCAUGGGAAAUUUGCUGGGCUCUGAGCCUGCCGUGCCGGCCUGAGUGUGAAUGUGCCCACAGCAGCAGCCUGGCCUGUCCUCACUCCACCAGGAAAUGGUGAAUGUCGCAAGGAAAACAGAGGCCCCAACUCCAGAGGAUUCUGCUGGAGUCUGCUGUGGUUGCACUUCAGUUGAGAGAAAGGAAUCCAGCUCUGCUGUGCCUCUUCUCAAGUCUCAUCUCCAGCAAUACCUCCUGUCCUUGCCAGAUGAGCCGCAGGUGCAGACCGGCAAUCACAACAGUUGUCACUUGGUGGAGCCAGAUUUCUCUGCAAAUGGAAAACGCCUUAAGAGUGGAAAAGUUCUCCAAGUCACGAUUUUUAAACAGAUUGGAGAAAGAAAGAUGGGAAUCAGAGGACUUAAAUGUUUUGAGAAAUCAAAAUUUUUACAAUUUUGCUCUUAGUUACUCUGUCAUAGCCUUGCCAGCUGAGGAAACCAUCACUAUCAUGCAUUGAAAUAGGACAAAAAUGAAGCUGAGAUACAUUUGGGAAUAUAUGCACAAACAUGUAAGAUGCAACCAAAAGCUGUCACUUUUUGGUUUUGCACAGUUUAAACAAGUUCAGAAUGUUGAUGCUAAACUGUUGCUAAACUGAUGCUAAACUGAUGAGAUCCUUCUACUGAUGAUAGGUUUUUAAAAUGUAUCUUCCAUUUUUUCACAUUUCUAUCAGUUUCUCUUAAUGCAAGUAAGAAAGGACAGAAUGUAUUUAUAGUAUAACAGACAGAACAUCCCAAGAGGAAAAAAUGAGAGGAUGCAAAACUAUAAACACCUUCUCUACACUGUGCUCACAUUAGCAUGUUUCUUUUCCUGACCACCUGUAAUGGACAUAUUAAUUAAAGAAGUGUGAUUAAGUAAAAGCUUAUUUGGCUUCUGAUUUUGUGUUACAUUUAUUAUAAUUUCUGUAACAGCUCAGGGAACUUGUAUUACUCUCUGCCAUCUUGCUUUUCAAUUAUCUGAAGUUUUUACCAAGAUCAUAAAAUCACAGAAUGGCCUGGGUUGAAC